AUUGAACGCUGGCGGCAUGCCUUACACAUGCAAGUCGAACGGCAGCACGGGUGCUUGCACCUGGUGGCGAGUGGCGAACGGGUGAGUAAUACAUCGGAACGUACCUUAUCGUGGGGGAUAACGCAGCGAAAGUUGCGCUAAUACCGCGUACGCCCUGAGGGGGAAAGCGGGGGACCGUAAGGCCUCGCGCGAUUAGAGCGGCCGAUGUCUAAUUAGCUUGUUGGUGAGGUAAAAGCUCACCAAGGCGAUGAUCAGUAGCUGGUCUGAGAGGACGAUCAGCCACACUGGGACUGAGACACGGCCCAGACUCCUACGGGAGGCAGCAGUGGGGAAUUUUGGACAAUGGGGCAACCCUGAUCCAGCAAUGCCGCGUGAGUGAAGAAGGCCUUCGGGUUGUAAAGCUCUUUUGUCAGGGAAGAAACAGCAGCUCUAACACAGUCUGCGAAUGACGGUACCUGAAGAAUAAGCACCGGCUAACUACGUGCCAGCAGCCGCCGUAA
This 500-nucleotide ribosomal RNA is filed under the name uncultured bacterium. Its description in RNAcentral is "partial 16S ribosomal RNA". It matches the Rfam family "Bacterial small subunit ribosomal RNA", at positions 30 to 523 of the family's 1533-position model. The record is from RNAcentral.